RNAcentral lists this unclassified non-coding RNA (209 nucleotides) under Hevea brasiliensis (rubber tree). The record is from RNAcentral. Lineage: Eukaryota; Viridiplantae; Streptophyta; Magnoliopsida; Malpighiales; Euphorbiaceae.
GAAAAACAAACACGCAAUUUAAGGACUUUAUUACCACACAUCAACCAAAAUUGGAUCUUUAAGCUUGCAGAAUUUUAAAGGAAAGUAAGAACCCAGGAAAUGUGGAUGAAAGCACUUUACAAUUGAAGUUAAAAGAAGUUCGAUUAAGAAGCACUUUUUUUCUCAAAAAUUGCACAAUGAGGGCAAAUGGAGGCAAAGAAAAGGACAUA